This is a non-coding RNA of Phrynosoma platyrhinos (Desert horned lizard), 72 nucleotides long. The record is from the annotation of a GenBank genome assembly. NCBI's taxonomy places the organism in Eukaryota, Metazoa, Chordata, Lepidosauria, Squamata, Phrynosomatidae.
GCCAAGGUGGUGUAGUGGUUUGAGCAUUGGACAAUGGCCUUGGCAGGCCAGGGUUCGAAUCCCGUCUUGGCC